This 439-nucleotide ribosomal RNA is filed under the name uncultured Gallicola sp. Its description in RNAcentral is "bacterial SSU rRNA". It matches the Rfam family "Bacterial small subunit ribosomal RNA", at positions 338 to 795 of the family's 1533-position model. Lineage: Bacteria; Bacillati; Bacillota; Tissierellia; Tissierellales; Peptoniphilaceae. The record is from RNAcentral.
CCUACGGGGGGCAGCAGUGGGGAAUAUUGCACAAUGGGGGAAACCCUGAUGCAGCGACGCCGCGUGAGCGAUGAAGGUUUUCGAAUCGUAAAGCUCUGUCCUUGGAGAAGAUAAUGACGGUAUCCAAGGAGGAAGCACCGGCUAAAUACGUGCCAGCAGCCGCGGUAAUACGUAUGGUGCGAGCGUUGUCCGGAAUUAUUGGGCGUAAAGGGUACGUAGGCGGUUUAUCAAGUCAGAUGUUAAAGCGUGGGGCUCAACCCCAUAAAGCAUUUGAAACUGAUAAACUUGAGUAGUGGAGAGGAAAGUGGAAUUCCUAGUGUAGCGGUGAAAUGCGUAGAUAUUAGGAGGAAUACCAGUGGCGAAGGCGACUUUCUGGACACAAACUGACGCUGAGGUACGAAAGCGUGGGGAGCAAACAGGAUUAGAUACCCGAGUAGUC